GGGGUGGAGAGUGAUGGUUCAAAAAGAAAAGGAAGCACUUAGGGCAGUGAAUCACGUUUUGACCAGGAAAACACACUUGAUAAUUGAAGGAUGAUGAAGUGUCCACAGGCUUCGCUAGUGAUCUUUUGGCUUCAACUGAGCUGGGUGAGCAGUGAAGACAAGGUGAUACAAAGCCCUCCGUCUCUGGUUGUCCACGAGGAAGACAGUGUAACUGUCAACUGCAGUUAUGAAGCAGCUAACUUUCAAAGCCUACUCUGGUACAAGCAGGAAAAGAAAGCUCUGACAUUUCUAUUUAUGCUAACUUCAAGUAGAAUUGAAAAGAAGUCAGGCAGCUUAAGUAGCAUGUUAGAUAAGAAAGAACGUUUCAGCAUCCUGAACAUCACAGCCACGAAGACCAGAGACUCGGCCACCUACCUCUGUGCUGUGGAGGCACAGUGCUCCCUAGUCACCUGCAGCCUGUACUCAAAUUCUACAGCUGAGUCUCUGCAACCAUAAGAUGGGGAACUUGCUAUGUUGAGCAAGCCCUCAAAAAAAAAAAAAAAAAACCUAUAAGGAAAAGCAGUUAUUGCUCAAGAUUUUUGUGCCCAUGUUGACAAUUACUUUUGCAGUUUACUGAGUCCUAAUUCAGAUGAGUCUUAUCAGUGCAUUCACUACCUUCUCUGUGAUUUUUCUAUGGGAUUCAGCAUAGCUAAUAUUUCUAGAGGGUCACUCAGGAUACUAACUCCAUUACCACACCAUUAGAAAGCAAGCUCUUUUAUCAGGAUUGUACGGGCAACUCAUAUGUGCACUACACAUUAGGGAAUCUGCCUAACAGCUAUGGAUGUUUUAUCUUCUCCCACAGAACAGAUACAUUUAUAGAUACAGUUCUGUCUGUAACAUUUUUUUUGCUGGACCUAUUAGCAAAGAACAAAGGGUAGGAACAAGGAGGUAUCAUUCAUUACCUGAUUCAAACAAAAGGUUUUCAUUCACGAUUUUAUUAUUCUUACUUACUAUCUUCAUUUUAGGAUUGUUGCCUAUGCUAGGCACUCCAUUAAAGUGGUGAUAAAAUUUUUCAAGAUGUUACACAUUAAUUUGAAUAUUUAGUACCUUAAGCAGCCUACCAAAGGAAAGGAGUUAGCUGAAGUAAGUUAUAUGAAGCUAACAUAAACUUAGCCUACUUAUGUUGUGAUACAUCCUUUUAAUUAUGUAAUCACAUAUAUAGUACUUACAAAGAGCUUGCAAUGGAAGCCACUGUUUAUCAAAAGCAAGUACUAUGUGCCUUGUAUUUUGCAAAUAUCACCUUAUUGAAUUCUCAAAAUACAAUGAAGGAUCACCAAUAUUACUUUCAGUUGAUAUAUUAGGAAACACAAACUUAGAAAGGUUAAGCCCCCUUCCUCACCCCGUACCCCAGACAAAUAGCUAUCAGAAUCUGAAAUCAGGUCUAUCUGACUCCAAAGUCUAUACUUUCUUCAUUACAUGCCCCAGUGUUAAACAUCACCAAGGAAAAAAUUUACCCACAGUGUGACCACAAUUAUGUACAAAAUACGUAGAGAAAAUACUGAAAUAACAUAUGUUUAACUUGUAAAUAAAAUAACAUUUACAAUAACAUGUGAAUAAAAUAACUCCGAAAUGUCUGCAACAGU
Molecule: non-coding RNA, 1622 nt
Organism: Callithrix jacchus (white-tufted-ear marmoset)
Lineage: Eukaryota; Metazoa; Chordata; Mammalia; Primates; Cebidae
Source: the annotation of a RefSeq genome assembly